This 123-nucleotide ribosomal RNA is filed under the name Mesocricetus auratus (golden hamster). Its description in RNAcentral is "5.8S ribosomal RNA". It matches the Rfam family "5.8S ribosomal RNA". Rfam says of the family: 5.8S ribosomal RNA (5.8S rRNA) is a component of the large subunit of the eukaryotic ribosome. It is transcribed by RNA polymerase I as part of the 45S precursor that also contains 18S and 28S rRNA. Functionally, it is thought that 5.8S rRNA may be involved in ribosome translocation. Lineage: Eukaryota; Metazoa; Chordata; Mammalia; Rodentia; Cricetidae. The record is from Rfam by way of RNAcentral.
GGCUCUUAGUGAUGGAUCACUUGGCUCGUGCGUUGAUGAAGAAUCAGCUAGCUUGGAGAAUUUAUGUGAAUUGCAAGAAAGACAAUCUUAACUUUUUUGUUUCAUUUUUAUGCAUUAGUAAUA